ACCUGAGUAAUACCUGGCUCAUCCUCCACGUUAGAUGUGCACACAUAUAUUCAAAAUAAAAAAGUUACAAAACUAGUCAGCACCAGAAGAAAGUAUAUGGCUGCACUAGAGGAAUUUUGGACGUUUACCAAUGUUGCUUUUCAGCUGCUUCAUCCCCAUUGCUCUUCUGUCCUACACGUGAGAGGCCAGCACUGGUGGUGUAAAUUCUGCCCUGGGGUCUUACUGCUUGUUCUCCAGGUACCAUGGAUUCAAAGCUGACAGGAGCUGGAGCCAUCCUGAGUAUGUUGAGCAGACUAAAAAAUGAUGUUUUGUUAAAGGAAAAAGGGAAGUGUAGCCAGUAACCAUCCCUC
Molecule: long non-coding RNA, 350 nt
Filed under: Chrysolophus pictus (golden pheasant)
Lineage: Eukaryota; Metazoa; Chordata; Aves; Galliformes; Phasianidae
Description: lncRNA (ENSCPIG00010014844.1)
Source: RNAcentral